RNAcentral lists this ribosomal RNA (241 nucleotides) under uncultured bacterium. RNAcentral's name for it is "partial 16S ribosomal RNA". It matches the Rfam family "Bacterial small subunit ribosomal RNA", at positions 15 to 236 of the family's 1533-position model. The record is from RNAcentral.
GAUCAUGGCUCAGGACGAACGCUGGCGGCGUGCCUAACACAUGCAAGUCGAACGAGAAUCUUUGAACAGAUCUUUUCGGAGUGACGUUCAAAGAGGAAAGUGGCGGACGGGCGAGUAACGCGUGAGUAACCUGCCCAUAAGAGGGGGAUAAUCCAUGGAAACGUGGACUAAUACCGCAUAUUGUAGUUAAGUUGCAUGACUUGAUUAUGAAAGAUUUAUCGCUUAUGGAUCGGACUCGCGU